CAAGAAGAGAAGAAAGGGAAGAGAAGGGCAAGCAGCGCCUAGUUUCUGCCGAAGCAGAAACUGGGCGCCUAGGCGCCAUGAAUGCAGAACCAAAGCAGAAUAUUGGCGCCUAGGCGGCCCGGCAUGUAUAUAUAUAUGCAUUUUUUCCCUCUUUCAUUACAACACACACAUCACAAGACCUAGAGAGAAAAGAGAGAAAACUUUGGAGAGAAUUUUUACAAGAUUGAAGGUUGUUCAUCUUGGGUAUAAAUUCAAAGGUAGUUUCUUUCUUGGGGAUUAACUUGAGGCUUGUUCAAGUAAUCCAAACACAUUGAUUAUCAUAUAUUCCAUUGGAUUCAUUUCUUCCUCAUUUUCUUGUUCUUCAAGCAUAUUGGAAAUUUUCACUUUGCCAACUUAGUUUGAUCUUUGGGCAUUCAUUGGGAGGUGUUUUCCCAACAAUUUGGUAUUAGAGCUACAUCCUAAAUCAAGGUGGUCAAGCUUCGAUUUUGUGGUGAGUUGCUUGAACUUGUUGUGCACAAGGUGUUUGUGAAAAUUCCCAAGUGAACUUUUGUGAUUUAUUUUCGGUAAACAAGUGAGUAAAUCAUGUCUACUAGAGGAAUGGUGAAGAUUGGGAAGUAUGAGAUAGAAAAAUUCAAUGGGAAGAAUGAUUUUUCAUAUUGGAGAAUGCAAAUGAAAAAUUUGUUGAUUUCUCAAAAGUUGCACAAGGCAUUGGCGGGAAAGGAGAAGAAGCACGUUGAUAUGUCGGACGAGGAUUGGGAAGAGUUAGAUCUUGAGGCACGAGCGUCUAUCAUUCUUUGCCUUGAAAGAGAU
Molecule: long non-coding RNA, 810 nt
Filed under: Olea europaea subsp. europaea
Lineage: Eukaryota; Viridiplantae; Streptophyta; Magnoliopsida; Lamiales; Oleaceae
Source: RNAcentral